RNAcentral lists this long non-coding RNA (979 nucleotides) under Piliocolobus tephrosceles (Ugandan red Colobus). Its description in RNAcentral is "lncRNA (ENSPTEG00000030542.1)". Lineage: Eukaryota; Metazoa; Chordata; Mammalia; Primates; Cercopithecidae. The record is from RNAcentral.
CAUAGCUAAUGUAAAAAAUAAAUUAUUAAAAAAUAAAAAAAAUUGAUAAAUAUUUUAGAAUAUCAUCUGAUUCGAUUUUACCUCAUUCUAAGAAUUUUGUUGAUAAUAAUGAUAAUCAACUGAAAAAAAAACAUACAUGGUUGUGACGUUAACAAUUGUAUCACAAACGGUGACUUAAAUAAAAAUGGAUCUCAUGUAAGUAGAAGUGGUAUUGCUACUGCUGCUGUCCCUAACAACAAUAAAAAUGAAUAUAUCAACGAAUCUAUCAAUAAGUCUAUUAAUAAAUCUAAUAAGAAUAAUAGUAUUUAUUGCAAUACAAACAACAUUAAUGAUAAUAACAUAUAUUCGCAGUAUAAUAAUAAUAAUAGUAGUAGUAAUAAUAAACAUAUGUUAAAUAUAAACGGGAAAAAUAUUAAGCAAUCAAGUAUUGAUGAUAGUGAUAAACAUAUUGUAAUAAAAGACGAUAUUAUUAUUUUUAAGAAUGUGGAUGAUGAUGAAGUAGUAAUGAUGAUGAUGAUGAUACAUGUGAUAGUAGUGAAAUAAGUUGUACCGACACAAGCGGAGUAGAUAGGAGUAAUACAGACAUAAGUGGGGGAGGAGGUAGUAGCAAUCACAUUUUAGAUAAAAGUAAAUAUUCUACUCGUGUAACAAAAAAAUUAAACAGUUCAUCAUAUAAAGAUAAUAAAAACAUAGAAAAAGAGUUAUAUAAUAAAUUUUAUGAAAAUAAUAAAGAAAAAAAUAAUGUAUAUCCUAAUGUAUAUAACUUAGAUGAUGCUACAGAAUUAACAGCUUUAUUGAAUGAUAAUGGAAAACAUGAAAUAAAAAAAUUGUUAUGGGCAAUUAAUAAUAAUUUUGGUAACGAUAUUGAAUUUUCACCUAUAAUACCAAAUCUGUGUAUUAUACUUUUGAUUUAUUUUAAAGCUUCAGUUGUUUAUUGUAUUAUUCAUUGUUUAAUAAAAAAUGGUAAUUGAUUUUUUUU